GCUCCAGUGGUUUAGUGGUUAGACCGUCCGCCUCGGAUAAGGGAGCUCUCGGGUUCGAACCCCUGCUGAAUCA
Molecule: non-coding RNA, 73 nt
Organism: Potamilus streckersoni
Lineage: Eukaryota; Metazoa; Mollusca; Bivalvia; Unionida; Unionidae
Source: the annotation of a GenBank genome assembly